Non-coding RNA from Chlorocebus sabaeus (green monkey), 284 nucleotides. It matches the Rfam family "Metazoan signal recognition particle RNA". From Rfam's summary of the family: The signal recognition particle (SRP) is a universally conserved ribonucleoprotein. It is involved in the co-translational targeting of proteins to membranes. The record is from Rfam. Lineage: Eukaryota; Metazoa; Chordata; Mammalia; Primates; Cercopithecidae.
GCUGUGCACAAUGGCACAUGCCCAUAGUCUCAGUUACUCGGGAGGCUGAGGCAGGAGGAUCACCUGAGCCCAGGAAUUCCGGCUGUAGUGCACUAUGCCAAUCAGGUGUUCGCACUAAAUUCAGCAUCAAUAUGGUGGCCUCCACCAUGUUGCCCAAGGACGGGUGGACCAGCCCAGGUGGGAAAAGGGACAGGUAAAAAUUCCCAUGCUGAUCAGUAACGGAUCACGCCUGUGAAUAGCCGCUUGCGCUCCAGCCUGAGUGAUAGAGUGAGACUCUGUGUUUU